Molecule: transfer RNA, 72 nt
Filed under: Camelus bactrianus (Bactrian camel)
Lineage: Eukaryota; Metazoa; Chordata; Mammalia; Artiodactyla; Camelidae
Also listed under: 2 other names
Rfam family: tRNA
About the family: Transfer RNA (tRNA) molecules are approximately 80 nucleotides in length.
Source: Rfam by way of RNAcentral
GAAGGUAUAGCUCAGUGGUAGAGUACCUGCUUAGUAUGCCCAAGGUCCUGGGUUCAAUCCCCAGGACCACCA